GCACACAGGUGCUGCAUGGCUGUCGUCAGCUCGUGUCGUGAGAUGUUGGGUUAAGUCCGCAACGAGCGCAACCCCUAUCUUUAGUUACCAUCAUUCAGUUGGGGACUCUAAAGAUACUGCCCCGGUCAACGGGGAGGAAGGUGGGGAUGACGUCAGGUCCUCAUGGCCCUUAUGUCCAGGGCUACACACGUGCUACAAUGGGCAGUACAAAGGGUAGCAAGCCUGCGAAGGUGAGCCAAUCUCAAAAAGCUGUUCGUAGUUCGGAUUGGAGUCUGCAACUCGACUCCAUGAAGCUGGAAUCGCUAGUAAUCGCGGAUCAGCAUGCCGCAGUGAAUACGUUCCCGGGCCUU
Molecule: ribosomal RNA, 350 nt
Filed under: uncultured Desulfobacterium sp.
Lineage: Bacteria; Pseudomonadati; Thermodesulfobacteriota; Desulfobacteria; Desulfobacterales; Desulfobacteriaceae
Description: bacterial SSU rRNA
Rfam family: Bacterial small subunit ribosomal RNA
Source: RNAcentral